Molecule: ribosomal RNA, 346 nt
Filed under: uncultured Prevotella sp.
Lineage: Bacteria; Pseudomonadati; Bacteroidota; Bacteroidia; Bacteroidales; Prevotellaceae
Description: bacterial SSU rRNA
Rfam family: Bacterial small subunit ribosomal RNA
Source: RNAcentral
UGAGGAAUAUUGGUCAAUGGACGUAAGUCUGAACCAGCCAAGUAGCGUGCAGGAUGACGGCCCUAUGGGUUGUAAACUGCUUUUAUGCGGGGAUAAAGUGAGGGACGUGUCCCUUUUUGCAGGUACCGCAUGAAUAAGGACCGGCUAAUUCCGUGCCAGCAGCCGCGGUAAUACGGAAGGUCCGGGCGUUAUCCGGAUUUAUUGGGUUUAAAGGGAGCGUAGGCCGGCUUUUAAGCGUGUUGUGAAAUGCCGCGGCUCAACCGUGGCACUGCAGCGCGAACUGGAGGCCUUGAGUGCGCGGGAGGUAGGCGGAAUUCGUGGUGUAGCGGUGAAAUGCUUAGAUAUC